RNAcentral lists this ribosomal RNA (690 nucleotides) under Vibrio sp. LJSD1. RNAcentral describes it as "bacterial SSU rRNA". It matches the Rfam family "Bacterial small subunit ribosomal RNA", at positions 385 to 1067 of the family's 1533-position model. The record is from RNAcentral. Lineage: Bacteria; Pseudomonadati; Pseudomonadota; Gammaproteobacteria; Vibrionales; Vibrionaceae.
GAUGCAGCCAUGCCGCGUGUAUGAAGAAGGCCUUCGGGUUGUAAAGUACUUUCAGUUGUGAGGAAGGGGGUGUUGUUAAUAGCAACAUCUCUUGACGUUAGCAACAGAAGAAGCACCGGCUAACUCCGUGCCAGCAGCCGCGGUAAUACGGAGGGUGCGAGCGUUAAUCGGAAUUACUGGGCGUAAAGCGCAUGCAGGUGGUUCAUUAAGUCAGAUGUGAAAGCCCGGGGCUCAACCUCGGAACUGCAUUUGAAACUGGUGAACUAGAGUACUGUAGAGGGGGGUAGAAUUUCAGGUGUAGCGGUGAAAUGCGUAGAGAUCUGAAGGAAUACCAGUGGCGAAGGCGGCCCCCUGGACAGAUACUGACACUCAGAUGCGAAAGCGUGGGGAGCAAACAGGAUUAGAUACCCUGGUAGUCCACGCCGUAAACGAUGUCUACUUGGAGGUUGUGGCCUUGAGCCGUGGCUUUCGGAGCUAACGCGUUAAGUAGACCGCCUGGGGAGUACGGUCGCAAGAUUAAAACUCAAAUGAAUUGACGGGGGCCCGCACAAGCGGUGGAGCAUGUGGUUUAAUUCGAUGCAACGCGAAGAACCUUACCUACUCUUGACAUCCAGAGAAUCCAGCGGAGACGCAGGAGUGCCUUCGGGAGCUCUGAGACAGGUGCUGCAUGGCUGUCGUCAGCUCGUGUUG